Molecule: ribosomal RNA, 660 nt
Filed under: Triticum aestivum (bread wheat)
Lineage: Eukaryota; Viridiplantae; Streptophyta; Magnoliopsida; Poales; Poaceae
Description: partial small subunit ribosomal RNA
Source: RNAcentral
CAGUUCACCGUCCCGGAUCUCCGCCCCGGCACGCUCGACUCCCUGCUCGCCCUCAGCGACGACCUCGUCAAGUCCAACAUCUUCAUCGAGGGCGUCUCCCACAAGAUCCGCCGGCAGAUCGAGGACCUGGAGCGCGCCGGAGGGGUCGAGCCCGGCACCCUCACCGUCGACGGCGUCCCCGUCGACAGCUACCUCACCAGGUUCGUGUGGGACGAGGGCAAGUACCCCGUCAAUGCCCCGCUCAAGGAGACCGUCGCCAGCAUCCAGUCCCAGGUCGCCAAGAUCGAGGACGACAUGAAGGUUAGAGUUGCUGAAUACGGUAAUGUUAAGAGCCAGCUUGGCGCAAUCAACAGGAAGCAAACUGGGAGUUUAGCAGUUCGUGACCUUUCCAACCUCAUAAAGCCAGAUGAUAUGGUCACUUCGGAACAUCUAGUGACACUCCUUUCUAUUGUGCCAAAGUAUUCCCAAAAAGAUUGGUUAUCAAGCUACGAGUCACUUGAUACGUUUGUGGUUCCGAGAUCAUCAAAAAAGCUUUACGAGGACAAUGAGUAUGCUCUCUACACUGUAACAUUAUUUGCCAAGGUUGUUGACAACUUUAAGGUCCAUGCUCGUGAGAAAGGUUUCCAGAUCCAUGACUUUGAGUAUAGUCCUGAAGCAUAG